This is a long non-coding RNA of Cyanistes caeruleus (blue tit), 2777 nucleotides long. NCBI's taxonomy places the organism in Eukaryota, Metazoa, Chordata, Aves, Passeriformes, Paridae. The record is from Ensembl.
AUGAAACCUAACAUUUCAAUAAACCCUAAGCCUUCUUCCUACAGUGCUUGCUUCCAAUAUUUAUGGACAGUAAAUGUCUUCCCAGGCAUCCUUCUCUCGUACCAGGACAUCGCCUGCAGCGGUUUCCCGAGGUUCCCCGUGUGUGUUCUCUCCACAUCAGCACCAAGGAGGAAAGACCUGGGGACAACGUGCAGAAAAGAGCAAUUCCACAUCCUUUGGGACAAGGGGUUAGGCUUUGCCUUGUGUCAGAGGUCCUGGACAGCCUUCAGAAGAGAUCCAGAAAGGUUUGCCAAGCCCUCUGGGAUCAGAAGUGGUACCAUUAGAAGAUGGAGAGUAUGGAAAAAUAAACAGAAAUCCACUUUCCAGGAUUGUCCCUCUAACACAGCGUGCUCAACAGAAUUCCAGCUCCAGAAAAACCAGGGUGGAAAAGCAGCUUUCACCUCCCAACUUUUGUGAAGUGCAUAAUUUGGCAUUAGACAUUUCUUGUUUUACUUAGGAAAGGUAGUUGUAGGGAUGAAGGGAGCCAGAACAGAAUCAAAAGACAGAGAGUGAAACCAUAACUCAGAUUUUAUUAUUUAGGCAAACCCACACUUGAAAAUGGAAUACAGAUUUUAUUUGGAUAUAGUCUCCUGUCUAUCUGCUAGAGGUUAUACACCAAGCUCCCUGAGUGAAAGGGGCCAAAGACACAGCUCUCUGAGCUGCAGUGGUUUGUGCAGGCAAUGCAAGGGACCCUGGAUGCCAUAAAGCUUGCCUGUAUCUGACAAACUGCAGAUUUUUCCAAAACAAAAUGCCAGAUUGUGUAUACAAACAUCUUAAAAGAAAGUAUUAUCUAUUCUUACAUUAGAGGGAGCUUUAUAUUUGCAAUGACCCAAGGAAACCCACUGAAAUAUCUGGAAAUUCUCUGCUUUAAACAAAUGGCACGUUAAUGAACUUUGUGUUUUACUUCAGCUCACUGAAAUGGCCUGCCAAGGGCUCUAGCAAGGUAUGUGCUGUGAGAAUUUAUAAUAUCCAGGAAAUCUGACACACUGCAGCCAAGAGGCAUCUCUGGAAUCUCAGACCAGGACAGAAGGGGAGCUGGGUGUAUCUGACUGGUGUCUGCAGGAUUAUUCAUCUGCACACACAAGUUCAGGAUCAGCUUGGUCUUUGUGGCUCCCUGUUACCAUUACCAGCUAAAGAGAAAAAUCUUCAAAAGGAUUUCAUUACCUUUUCCCCCUAGAUUCAUCUUAUUUACUCCCUCUUGAGAAAGCAUCUUUCUUCACACAACUUAUUUAAAUGAGGGCUUGGGAGUGCUGUAGAGCCCCAUCUGUGAUUUCAGAGUUCACAAGCAGCCAUUUGAAUAUUCCAGAGCAAAUUGAUGGGAUGAAAAGUGAGUGCCAUUUCUGGGCUUUCCACUGUAAGCAGCUCAUAAAACACUUCUAUUUGAAGUACAGAGCAUCAAAGAUACUUUCUCCAUUUAUUGCUGUGCACUUGGAGUAUAAUCCAGCAACACUUUUAUCUGCUUUUUAAACACAAAUACAGUGGCUGAUUUUCUUUCUUUUUUCUCCUUUAAGUGAAGUUUCAGAAAGGAAUGAUUUGGGCCUGAUAAAUGCUUGAUGAACUCGCUAGCAUUAACGGUUCUUUGAAAGCUAUUACUUUUAUGGAGAGAAAUAAUCCAAUUUCUUUUCCCUCUGAGAUGCACUGAAGGCAAUACACCCCUGUCACAUGAAAGAGUGAACUUCCCAAUUCCAUUUCAGAAAUAGCUUUCAUGUUAAUAUGUACUAUUUGGGUAAUUUUACUAACAAGAAAAAUCAUAAAGAGUGGGAGAAUACAAACCUAAUCAACACAAAUGCCUACUAAAUGAAUAGCAAACCUCAUUAAAAACCAAUAGCAAUUUGGUUUGGAGAGAAAAUAUUCCUGGUUGCCUUGUGUUAGGAAAAUGGUUGGGAACACCACACACUGCUGCAGAUCAGCUGCUCGUUGUCACCAAAUUUUUAAGUACAAACAGGUUUUUGUGCCCGAGGUGACAAUCAGAAUCAGCUGCUAUUCUCACGAGUGUCACCAGAGAAAGGAUCAGAUUUCAUUUGAUCCUUGGACUGGAGGCUCAGAAAACAACCUGGAAAUUGGUCUUGAGGACCCAGCUUUGAAUGAUUAGUUAAUCAGCAGAAGAGACACUCUAUUCAGAAUUAAUACAAAACAAUUAAGUAGAAACACAAUUUGGAAUUAGUAAAAAAAUUAAGUAUUUUUCUAAUCACUUCCUCUUCUUUCCAUUGCAAUAACCCAUGGCAAAAUGCACUAAUAUAAUGUUUACAUGGAAACUCACUAAGCAAUUGCUGAAAUGCUUUGAUCUUAAAAUUUCCAGAUGUUUGUUUGAAUGAUUUACACACACAAACAUUUCCUGCUAAAUACAGACUUGUCCUCCACAAUCUUGAAUGAAAAUCAGAAAGGAGAGACUGGUUGGGUAAUGUGAAGCUUCCUCCAGGAUUUCCUCCAGCAGAAGUAAAAGCCAUUAUUGAUAAAGAAUUGAAGGGUAUCCCCACAGUCUGUACUGCACUGAGAUUGUUCUCACAAUACAUGUAUAAGAUAUAUGUGACAUAAAUUUCUUUCAGUCUUUUCAAUUGGCUUCUGUUCCAUCCAGACAACAGGAAUGUGGUAGGGAAGGUUUUAAAGUAAACUCCAGCAAUUUAUUAUUUACAUGUCUAAGAGCUAAUUCUCAAAAGCAGAGUUCUUCAGUUUAGAUUUACAGCACAGCUGUGAACCCAAGGAUAAAAUAAAAAGCACUCUCUCCCAUUUUGGAGUCA